This 516-nucleotide ribosomal RNA is filed under the name uncultured Streptococcus sp. RNAcentral describes it as "bacterial SSU rRNA". It matches the Rfam family "Bacterial small subunit ribosomal RNA", at positions 395 to 902 of the family's 1533-position model. The record is from RNAcentral. Lineage: Bacteria; Bacillati; Bacillota; Bacilli; Lactobacillales; Streptococcaceae.
CGCCGCGUGAGUGAAGAAGGUUUUCGGAUCGUAAAGCUCUGUUGUAAGUCAAGAACGAGUGUGAGAGUGGAAAGUUCACACUGUGACGGUAGCUUACCAGAAAGGGACGGCUAACUACGUGCCAGCAGCCGCGGUAAUACGUAGGUCCCGAGCGUUGUCCGGAUUUAUUGGGCGUAAAGCGAGCGCAGGCGGUUUGAUAAGUCUGAAGUUAAAGGCUGUGGCUCAACCAUAGUUCGCUUUGGAAACUGUCAAACUUGAGUGCAGAAGGGGAGAGUGGAAUUCCAUGUGUAGCGGUGAAAUGCGUAGAUAUAUGGAGGAACACCGGUGGCGAAAGCGGCUCUCUGGUCUGUAACUGACGCUGAGGCUCGAAAGCGUGGGGAGCGAACAGGAUUAGAUACCCUGGUAGUCCACGCCGUAAACGAUGAGUGCUAGGUGUUGGAUCCUUUCCGGGAUUCAGUGCCGCAGCUAACGCAUUAAGCACUCCGCCUGGGGAGUACGACCGCAAGGUUGAAACUC